RNAcentral lists this ribosomal RNA (451 nucleotides) under uncultured bacterium. RNAcentral's name for it is "partial 16S ribosomal RNA". It matches the Rfam family "Bacterial small subunit ribosomal RNA", at positions 28 to 523 of the family's 1533-position model. The record is from RNAcentral.
GAUGAACGCUGGCGGCGUGCCUAAUACAUGCAAGUCGAACGAGGUCUUCGGACCUAGUGGCGAACGGGUGAGUAACACGUUGGUACCUACCCCGAAGUGGGGAAUAACUGCCCGAAAGGGUGGCUAAUACCGCAUAAUACCGCAAGGUUAAAGCAGUAAUGCGCUUCGGGAGGGGCCUGCGUCCCAUUAGCUAGUUGGUAGGGUAAUGGCCUACCAAGGCGACGAUGGGUAGCUGGAUCGAGAGGUUGACCAGCCACACUGGGACUGAGAUACGGCCCAGACUCCUACGGGAGGCAGCAGUAGGGAAUCUUCCACAAUGGACGAAAGUUUGAUGGAGCAACGCCGCGUGCAGGAUGACGGCCUUCGGGUUGUAAACUGCUUUUAUACGGGAAGAUUAUGACGGUACCGUAUGAAUAAGGACCGGCUAACUACGUGCCAGCCGCCGCGGUAA